AAAAGAGCGGGUUCGGCGAGUCGGGCGGCGCGCAGACCUGGGCUCUCAGCCGGGCUUAUCGGACCGGAGGCCCUUUGCCCCAGCGCGCAAGAGCAAAGGCAACAGGAAGGAAGCAGGAAGGCACUCUGGCGGCCCUACCCCGACCCGCCCGGGACCUGGGGGGCCUGGAUUUUCUCACGGAGGGGGAGGCCUCUCCCCGUUCCCAUCGCUACCCCGGGCGUCCCACCCAGAGUGGGAGACAGAAGGUGCUUCCAGUGUCCCAAUGGGGGUGGGCCAGGCACGGAGCAGCCAAGCUGAGCCCACAGCCCCUGGGAGCACUGGGCGCGGCAGGAGCCCUGCGUCCCCGGGAUAAGCCUGCCAGGAAGCAGCAGCACAGGAGGGCAAGCAAGGUCACGACACUGCAACGGAUCACCAGGAGGGGCCAUCACAGCUGAAAAAUGCGCCCGGAACAGUCCACCGGAAGGCCAUGGCUGAUCCUCCAACUUUCCUGGCUCAAGAGUUCAGCUCAUCCUUCCGGGCUGGGAGCCUGCUGUCCAGGAACCACCAGGGAGGAUGUGCGAGGGAUGGGGUGCUGUCUGCCCCGGGUCCAGGAGGCCAAGACCACCUCUCCCAGGAAGUCGGCGCCUUUAGGCUGGAAGAGCCUGGCCCCCACGCGGGUGCUCACCUCUGUGGGCCUGGGGCCAGUCCUGAAAAGGUCAGCUCCUGCCACAGAGGGA
Molecule: long non-coding RNA, 716 nt
Organism: Zalophus californianus (California sea lion)
Lineage: Eukaryota; Metazoa; Chordata; Mammalia; Carnivora; Otariidae
Exons: 3
Source: RefSeq, a predicted model, not a curated record